GGCAAACGGGUGCGGAACACGUACGCAAUCUACCCAAAACUGGGGAAUAGCCCGGGGAAACCCGGAUUAAUACCUCGUAACAUCAGGAUGCGGCAUCACAAUCUGAUUAUAGCUCCGGCGGUUUUGGAUGAGCGUGCGCCUGAUUAGGUAGUUGGUUGAGGUAACGGCUCACCAAGCCUUCGAUCAGUAACUGGUGUGAGAGCACGACCAGUCACACGGGCACUGAGACACGGGCCCGACUCCUACGGGAGGCAGCAGUAAGGAAUAUUGGUCAAUGGACGCAAGUCUGAACCAGCCAUGCCGCGUGAAGGAUGAAGGUCCUCUGGAUUGUAAACUUCUUUUAUAUGGGACGAAACCCUCUUUUCCAAGAGGACUGACGGUACCAUAGGAAUAAGCACCGGCUAACUCCGUGCCAGCAGCCGCGG
Molecule: ribosomal RNA, 425 nt
Filed under: uncultured bacterium
Lineage: Bacteria
Description: bacterial SSU rRNA
Rfam family: Bacterial small subunit ribosomal RNA
Source: RNAcentral